Molecule: non-coding RNA, 149 nt
Organism: Nomascus leucogenys (northern white-cheeked gibbon)
Lineage: Eukaryota; Metazoa; Chordata; Mammalia; Primates; Hylobatidae
Rfam family: Metazoan signal recognition particle RNA
About the family: The signal recognition particle (SRP) is a universally conserved ribonucleoprotein. It is involved in the co-translational targeting of proteins to membranes.
Source: Rfam
GAUGGGCGCAGUGGCGUGCUCCUGUAAUCCCAGCUACUCGGGAGGCUGAGAUGGGAGGAUGGCUUGAGCCCAGGGAGGUCGAGACUGCAGUGAACCACAACUGCACCACUGUACUCCAGCCUGGGCAAUAGAGUGAGACCCCAUCUCAA